UCUUCCUUAUCGAGAGCUAUUUACUCACCAAAUCCGCAGCCUCCCCCCACUGCGCCCCACUCGCAACUCCGUCGCCGUCGUCGUGUACAUUAAACCCUCCUCCACAAUCUCUGAUUCACCCAAAUUCUCUCUCUCGCACUUACAGAUACAGCGCGUGUAAAAAUAAUAUGAUAUAAAUAUACAUUGUAUAUGCACAAACAUUCCCCAAUUUGCCGAUAUGAUUUCUUUCUCCUCCGUUCAAUCCACCGCGGCGGCGGCGGCCGGCAGCACCGGUCUUUUACCUCAUUACGAUUUCCAUAAGUUAUCCUUCUCACUUCCAUCAAAACCAACUCAAUUUCGGUGUUAUUCACACCGGCGGCAGCAGGGCCUACGCAUCAGGGCCAUUGACGCGGCGCAGCCCUAUGAUUACGAGGCCUAUCUCAUCAACCGCUUCGAACAGUCCACCAAGCUCAAAAUUGCCGUAGUUGGGUUUGGAAACUUUGGUCAGUUCCUUGCUAAGGCCUUCAUCCGCCAGGGACACACUGUUUUCGCGCAUUCUCGGUCGGAUUACGCCUCCAUUGCACAAUCCCUUGGUGCUGCUUUCUUUUUUGAUACUCAUGAUCUAUGUGAACAACACCCUGAUGUAAUCCUUCUCUGUACCUCUAUAAUUUCUACUGAAUCGGUACUUAGGUCUCUCCCGAUACUACGGCUGAAGCGCAAUACGCUUUUUGUUGAUGUUCUAUCAGUAAAAGAGUUUGCGAAGAAUGUUUUCCUGCAAGUUCUUCCUACGCAUUUCGAUAUUCUCUGUACUCACCCAAUGUUUGGCCCUGAAAGUGGGAAAAACGGCUGGCAAAAUUUGCCUUUUGUAUAUGAAAAAGUGAGGAUUGGGAAUGAAGACUCUAGAUUUGCACGGGUCGAGAAUUUCUUGGACAUUUUCAAGAAGGAGGGGUGUAGGAUGGUGGAGAUGACUUGUGCAGAGCAUGAUAAAUAUGCUGCUGGAUCACAGUUUAUCACACACACAAUGGGGAGGAUUUUGGAGAAGUUACAGUUGGAUAGCACUCCAAUCAAUACCAAAGGGUAUGAGACUUUGCUGGACUUGGUGGAAAAUACAGCCAGUGACAGUUUUGAUCUGUACUACGGGUUGUUUAUGUACAAUAAAAAUGCAAUGGAGCAAAUUGAGAGAUUGGAUUUGGCAUUUGAGGCUUUGAAGCAGGAGCUGUUUGGACAUUUGCAUGAGGUCUUGCGAAAGCAGUUGUUUGGGAAGGCUGAGGCUGGGAUGCGGAGUCCAGUUCUGGCAAAGUUGCCCAAGAAUGGGACACCUUUGUUGCCGGCUCAGUCAGAGACCUUGGAGAAUAAUGAUAAUUAGGAUGGUUUCUAUUUGUAUUUGAAAAGGGGGAUAAAAUUGCCACGCUCCAUCUAUCACCACCUGCUGCCACCAUACCAUCACGACCACUGUCAAAUUGUCGGUAACCACGAACAAACUGCCGAUGAUUGACCAAUGAAUACUUUCUAUUGGCUGGUUACAACCGUUUCAGUAGAAACUACUUUUCUUUUGUCAACAAUCGUCAAGCAGUUGCUUGCAACCACCAACUGGCCACUGGAAACUAGUCUUCUGUCGUUUGCUUUAAUCACCUGGUGACCUAUGGCCACCGUGGAAAGGGCUUUUGGCGACAAUUAUUCAGUCAACAACAAAUAUUUAUUAGUUAAAGACAUUAGGAAAAAGGAAUGGUGUCAAUUCUGCUGAUCAAACGACAGCUGCUGGUAUAUGGACUCUGGCGUACUGCUUAUAACUUAUAUAAGUAAAUGAAUUUCUUUCCUUUUCCUUAUAAAUUUAUUUCAUCUAUUUCUGGUAUUCUGCCAGGUUGUAGCUUUUUAUUGUAUACAAGCUGUUGUAUGAGGUCCAGUUUCAUCAAUGUCAUAAAUGAAGCCUUCAGGGCUGAUUUUGUUUGUGUUUCUGCAAAUCAACCGUUGACAAAUUUGAAUUUUAAUGUGUUUUUUCAUGCUAAUUUUUUCUCUGGGGUUUCAUUA
Olea europaea var. sylvestris is the source of this 2007-nucleotide RNA transcript. It is a transcript of the gene named arogenate dehydrogenase 2, chloroplastic-like, with no coding region annotated. The record is from RefSeq and is a predicted model, not a curated record. NCBI's taxonomy places the organism in Eukaryota, Viridiplantae, Streptophyta, Magnoliopsida, Lamiales, Oleaceae. The transcript is spliced from 4 exons.